Molecule: unclassified non-coding RNA, 205 nt
Filed under: Hevea brasiliensis (rubber tree)
Lineage: Eukaryota; Viridiplantae; Streptophyta; Magnoliopsida; Malpighiales; Euphorbiaceae
Source: RNAcentral
AAAGUGUGUUAUUCUGUACACUCCUGGGGUUGCUGUUUUAGGGAUUCUCCAUUCUAUGGUUGCAUGGCUCUGACUGCUAAGCUUGAACGGUCUCGACCACUUAAAACGUAGGCAGAAAUCGUCAUCGUCAUAGGCCGGAACCCACAGCUUUUUGUCUUGAAGAAUUUCCACCAGUGCAAAUGUACCUUCGGUCAUAAGAUCGUUG